This 831-nucleotide ribosomal RNA is filed under the name uncultured bacterium. RNAcentral describes it as "bacterial SSU rRNA". It matches the Rfam family "Bacterial small subunit ribosomal RNA", at positions 60 to 904 of the family's 1533-position model. The record is from RNAcentral.
AGUCGAACGAGAGAGAGGGAGCUUGCUUCCUCGAUCGAGUGGCGAACGGGUGAGUAACGCGUGAGGAACCUGCCUCAAAGAGGGGGACAACAGUUGGAAACGACUGCUAAUACCGCAUAAGCCCACGGCUCGGCAUCGAGCAGAGGGAAAAGGAGCAAUCCGCUUUGAGAUGGCCUCGCGUCCGAUUAGCUAGUUGGUGAGGUAACGGCCCACCAAGGCGACGAUCGGUAGCCGGACUGAGAGGUUGAACGGCCACAUUGGGACUGAGACACGGCCCAGACUCCUACGGGAGGCAGCAGUGGGGAAUAUUGCACAAUGGGGGAAACCCUGAUGCAGCGACGCCGCGUGGAGGAAGAAGGUCUUCGGAUUGUAAACUCCUGUUGUUGAGGAAGAUAAUGACGGUACUCAACAAGGAAGUGACGGCUAACUACGUGCCAGCAGCCGCGGUAAAACGUAGGUCACAAGCGUUGUCCGGAAUUACUGGGUGUAAAGGGAGCGCAGGCGGGCGAUCAAGUUGGAAGUGAAAUCCAUGGGCUCAACCCAUGAACUGCUUUCAAAACUGAUUGUCUUGAGUAGUGCAGAGGUAGGCGGAAUUCCCGGUGUAGCGGUGGAAUGCGUAGAUAUCGGGAGGAACACCAGUGGCGAAGGCGGCCUACUGGGCACCAACUGACGCUGAGGCUCGAAAGUGUGGGUAGCAAACAGGAUUAGAUACCCUGGUAGUCCACACCGUAAACGAUGAUUACUAGGUGUUGGAGGAUUGACCCCUUCAGUGCCGCAGUUAACACAAUAAGUAAUCCACCUGGGGAGUACGACCGCAAGGUUGAAACUCAA